Molecule: ribosomal RNA, 253 nt
Filed under: uncultured bacterium
Lineage: Bacteria
Description: partial 16S ribosomal RNA
Rfam family: Bacterial small subunit ribosomal RNA
Source: RNAcentral
UACGGAGGGUGCAAACGUUGUUCGGAAUCACUGGGCAUAAAGAGCACGUAGGCUGCGCGCUAAGUCAGGUGUGAAAUCCCCCGGCUCAACCGGGGAACUGCACCUGAUACUGGCGUGCUCGAGGACGGUAGGGGUGAGUGGAACUCCAGGUGGAGCGGUGAAAUGCGUAGAUAUCUGGAGGAACACCGGUGGCGAAAGCGGCUCACUGGACCGUCUCUGACGCUGAGGUGCGAAAGCUAGGGUAGCAAACGGG